UACAGAGGGGGCAAGCGUUGUUCGGAAUUACUGGGCGUAAAGGGCGCGUAGGCGGCCUUCUAAGUCGAACGUGAAAUCCCUGGGCUCAACCCAGGAACUGCGUCCGAUACUGGAAGGCUUGAAUCCGGGAGAGGGAUGCGGAAUUCCUGGUGUAGCGGUGAAAUGCGCAGAUAUCAGGAGGAACACCGAUUGCGAAGGCAGCUCGCUGGAACGUUACUGACGCUGAGACGCGAAAGCGUGGGGAGCAAACAGG
RNAcentral lists this ribosomal RNA (253 nucleotides) under uncultured bacterium. RNAcentral describes it as "partial 16S ribosomal RNA". It matches the Rfam family "Bacterial small subunit ribosomal RNA", at positions 524 to 776 of the family's 1533-position model. The record is from RNAcentral.